Molecule: ribosomal RNA, 252 nt
Filed under: uncultured bacterium
Lineage: Bacteria
Description: partial 16S ribosomal RNA
Rfam family: Bacterial small subunit ribosomal RNA
Source: RNAcentral
GCAAGUCGAGCGGUAACAGGAGAAGCUUGCUUCUCGCUGACGAGCGGCGGACGGGUGAGUAACGCGUAGGAAUCUACCCAGUAGCGGGGGAUAGCCAGUGGAAACGCUGAUUAAUACCGCAUACGCCCCACGGGGGAAAGGAGGGGAUCUCUUCGGACCGGUCACUAUUGGAGGAGCCUGCGUUGGAUUAGCUAGUUGGUGAGGUAAAGGCUCACCAAGGCGACGAUCCAUAGCUGGUCUGAGAGGACGAUC